This 477-nucleotide ribosomal RNA is filed under the name Staphylococcus aureus. Its description in RNAcentral is "partial 23S ribosomal RNA". It matches the Rfam family "Bacterial large subunit ribosomal RNA", at positions 650 to 1126 of the family's 2925-position model. The record is from RNAcentral. Lineage: Bacteria; Bacillati; Bacillota; Bacilli; Caryophanales; Staphylococcaceae.
GCAGUAAAUGUGGAGCCGUAGCGAAAGCGAGUCUGAAUAGGGCGUUUAGUAUUUGGUCGUAGACCCGAAACCAGGUGAUCUACCCUUGGUCAGGUUGAAGUUCAGGUAACACUGAAUGGAGGACCGAACCGACUUACGUUGAAAAGUGAGCGGAUGAACUGAGGGUAGCGGAGAAAUUCCAAUCGAACCUGGAGAUAGCUGGUUCUCUCCGAAAUAGCUUUAGGGCUAGCCUCAAGUGGUGAUUAUUGGAGGUAGAGCACUGUUUGGACGAGGGGCCCCUCUCGGGUUACCGAAUUCAGACAAACUCCGAAUGCCAAUUAAUUUAACUUGGGAGUCAGAACAUGGGUGAUAAGGUCCGUGUUCGAAAGGGAAACAGCCCAGACCACCAGCUAAGGUCCCAAAAUAUAUGUUAAGUGGAAAAGGAUGUGGCGUUGCCCAGACAACUAGGAUGUUGGCUUAGAAGCAGCCAUCAUUUAA